GGGGGAGUGUGACUCAAUGAUAGAGCAUCUGCUUUGCACGCAGAAGAUCCCAGGUUCAAUCCUCAACUUCUCCA
This 74-nucleotide transfer RNA is filed under the name Sphaerodactylus townsendi. RNAcentral's name for it is "tRNA-Ala". It matches the Rfam family "tRNA". From Rfam's summary of the family: Transfer RNA (tRNA) molecules are approximately 80 nucleotides in length. Their secondary structure includes four short double-helical elements and three loops (D, anti-codon, and T loops). Further hydrogen bonds mediate the characteristic L-shaped molecular structure. tRNAs have two regions of fundamental functional importance: the anti-codon, which is responsible for specific mRNA codon recognition, and the 3' end, to which the tRNAs corresponding amino acid is attached (by aminoacyl-tRNA synthetases). tRNAs cope with the degeneracy of the genetic code in two manners: having more than one tRNA (with a specific anti-codon) for a particular amino acid; and 'wobble' base-pairing, i.e. permitting non-standard base-pairing at the 3rd anti-codon position. Lineage: Eukaryota; Metazoa; Chordata; Lepidosauria; Squamata; Sphaerodactylidae. The record is from RNAcentral.